AUCAACUUUCGAUGGUAGGAUAGAGGCCUACCAUGGUGGUAACGGGUAACGGGGUGUUAGGGCACGACACCGGAGAGGGAGCCUGAGAAACGGCUACCACAUCCAAGGAUGGCAGCAGGCGCGCAAAUUACCCAAUCCCGACACGGGGAGGUAGUGACAAUAAAUAACAAUACGGGGUUCUUUCGGAUCUCGUAAUUGGAAUGAGUACAAUUUAAAUCUCUUAACGAGGAACAAUUGGAGGGCAAGUCUGGUGCCAGCAGCCGCGGUAAUUCCAGCUCCAAUAGCGUAUAUUAAAGUUGUUGCAGUUAAAAAGCUCGUAGUUGAAUUUCGGGGUCAGCAGGUUGGUCGUGCCAAUGGUAUGCACUGGCCUUGCUGAUUCCUCCCUCUUGAUGAGCCGUAAUGCCAUUAAUUUGGUGUUGCGGGGAAUCAGGACUGUUACUUUGAAAAAAUUAGAGUGUUUAAAGCAGGCAAGCGCUUGAAUACAUUAGCAUGGAAUAAUGAAAUAGGACGUUCGAUCCUAUUUUGUUGGUUUCUAGGAUUGACGUAAUGAUUAAUAGGGAUAGUUGGGGGCAUUAGUAUUCAAUUGUCAGAGGUGAAAUUCUUGGAUUUAUUGAAGACUAACUACUGCGAAAGCAUUUGCCAAGGAUGUUUUCAUUAAUCAAGAACGAAAGUUAGGGGAUCGAAGACGAUCAGAUACCGUCGUAGUCUUAACCAUAAACUAUGCCGACUAGGGAUCGGAUGAUGUUAAUUUUUUAAUGACUCAUUCGGCGCCUUACGGGAAACCAAAGUGUUUGGGUUC
Molecule: ribosomal RNA, 799 nt
Filed under: uncultured Sclerocystis
Lineage: Eukaryota; Fungi; Glomeromycota; Glomeromycetes; Glomerales; Glomeraceae
Description: SSU rRNA
Rfam family: Eukaryotic small subunit ribosomal RNA
Source: RNAcentral